This 292-nucleotide ribosomal RNA is filed under the name uncultured Acidobacteriota bacterium. RNAcentral's name for it is "uncultured Acidobacteria bacterium partial 16S ribosomal RNA". The record is from RNAcentral. Lineage: Bacteria; Pseudomonadati; Acidobacteriota.
GGACUACAGGGGUUUCUAAUCCUGUUUGCUCCCCUAGCUUUCGUUCCUCAGCGUCAGUUAUGGUCCAGCGCGCCGCUUUCGCCACGGGUGUUCCUGCAGAUAUCUACGCAUUUCACCGCUACACCUGCAAUUCCACGCGCCUCUCCCACACUCCAGCAAAGCAGUUUUGAAAGCAGCCUCUGAGUUAAGCCCAGAGAUUUCACUCCCAACUUGCCUCACCGCCUACGAACCCUUUACACCCAGUAAUUCCGAACAACGCUGGCCCCCUACGUAUUACCGCGGCUGCUGGCAC